RNAcentral lists this long non-coding RNA (244 nucleotides) under Elaeis guineensis (African oil palm). Its description in RNAcentral is "long non-coding RNA (EGUI_LNC033720)". Lineage: Eukaryota; Viridiplantae; Streptophyta; Magnoliopsida; Arecales; Arecaceae. The record is from RNAcentral.
AUACCAAAUGAGCAACACACAUCGAUGUAUACCAGGACAAGUAUUUCAGUGAUCCUCUCUCCAUGUCCUAUGAAGGAUAAUUUGAUCAUUUUUUUUUAAAGGCAAAAUUCACAAACUGGAUAUAACUCAGAAUUUAAUUAGCCAAGUAUCCCAUCCUUUUCCAAUUUGCUUAUUAUAUCCUAUCCAAUAUGAUCAAGUCUAAGGAGCCACAUAUACCUAUAGUUUAUCUCAUCUCUUGAUCCCU